Brachypodium distachyon (stiff brome) is the source of this 3208-nucleotide RNA transcript. It is a transcript of the gene named formin-binding protein 4, with no coding region annotated. The transcript has 10 exons. The record is from RefSeq and is a predicted model, not a curated record. NCBI's taxonomy places the organism in Eukaryota, Viridiplantae, Streptophyta, Magnoliopsida, Poales, Poaceae.
UCUCGUCGAGAAAACAAACUUGCCCGCACCCCCCAUUGCCCCAAGCUCCCCGCUGGCGCUGUAGGAUUCGCGAAAGCGCGAGCACGUUGCGGGAAAGCGAACUCUAUCGAAGCGCCCACCUGCAUGCUGCAGGUUCGCCGUAGGCCGCGUAGCCCGCCUCCCCUCCCUCCACAGGCAAACACCCCCGCGUCACCCUCCAAACCCUAACCCUAGACAAAAUCUCCUCCCCCGGCGCCUGUUCGGCUCCCGGCGUUUCACGCGAUGGGAAGGAGGAAGGAGCGCCGCCUGGCGGCCAAGGCGGCAUCGGGCCGCAGGGUCAAGCUCGAUCUCUUCCUCGAUGCCUCCCCCGGGGAUGCGUCUUCGAAAGAGGGAGUAGGAGGAGAAAACCGUGAGCAGCAAAGUGGUGUUCCCACUUCACCAUCUUCCUCAGAUAAGAAGGAAAAUCCUCUGGCAUUGCUUGGGCAAUAUAGUGAUGAUGAAGAAGAGGAUGACGGUGCAGGAGCUCAACCCAAUGGUGAAGCUAACGGGAGUCCAACAAACGCGAGUGUUGAGGUUACUCACGAGCGUGAUAACACAGCUGGCGAUAAUGACGUUGUACAUAGUGAACCGCCUGCUUCUGAUAGUGGUCAGCAAGUGGCACCUCAAGCUGAUGGUGUCAAUAAUUUCACAGAGAAUGUUGCCGAGCAAAUCACUGCCGCCCCUGAGCCAACUCCAGAAAAUGGGUGUGUAACAGAAACAGAAGCUAUUCCAGAUUCAUCUGGCAUGCAAAUUGUUGGUGACAUUGGUGGGAACUGGAAAACUGUAAUGCAUGAACAGAGUAACCAGUGUUACUACUGGAACACAGUUACUGGAGAAACUUCAUGGGAGAUUCCUAAUGGAUUAGCUCCAGGAGUUGUAGCUGAUGGAGUCACUUCUGCAUCUAUACCUACCCAUGUUGAGUACUCAAUAGAAGCUCAAGCACAUGUCCCCCACAGCAAUGUGGAGGCAUAUCCAAGUGAUGUGUCUAUUGGAAAUGGCACAUCAGCUUAUACUGCCAUGGGAAUGGUGUGUGCAAGGGGGCAGCUUACUCAGAAUGCUUAUGCUUAUACUGGAGCUGUUGCUAGUCAUGAGUCAAUGGACAUUGAUCCCUUGCGGCUUGCAAAAUAUGGCGAGGAUUUGCUGCAAAGAUUGAAGCUGCUGGAAAGGCCACAUGGUGCCAUUGACAGUCUUGAAUUGAUAAAGAGAGAAAUUGAGAUACGAGUAUCAGACUGCAAUGUGCUGUCCUCGUAUGGUUCUUCUUUACUUCCAUUGUGGUUGCAUGCUGAGGUGCACCUUAAGCAACUGGAAUUUUCAGUUUCCAAGUUUGAAGCUAGCUACACAGCCUACACUCAUCCAGAAACAGAGCAUGCGGAAUACAAAGCACCUAAUGAAGCUGAAAUUUUGGCACCCUCUGAUGCCGAGGGUUUGAAGUUUGAGGUUAUCACUGUGGUUCCAAUGGAUGAAAAUCUUAAGGUCGAGGAGCCAUGUUCAACAGCGUCUGUACAGAACUCAGAAGAAAAAGAUGCUGCAGCAGUUACGUCAAGAGUUGAACCAGACUGUGAUGAAGAUAUGGAUGUGGAAAUGGAGGUUGAUGAAGAAAAUGUUGAAGAUCAGGGUUGUUCCAGUUCUAUGCCUAAUGAGGAGCAUCAUUCAUCAGAGCAAGUACGCUCACCAACUUUGCCAUCAUUGGAGAAAUCUGCUCCUCCUCCAGAGGAUAAUGACAUUCCUCCACCACCACCGCCAGAAGAGGAAUGGAUUCCACCUCCUCCACCUGAGAAUGAACCAGCUCCUCCACCUCCUCCUGAACCUGAAGAGACCACCGUAGUGUCAUAUGUUCACACUGAUACACUUACCCAGUCAUAUGUAGAUCAAGCAAACUUUGGUUAUGCGCUUCCAGGAAUGGAGUACUAUCCUGCUGCAGGUACAGAUGGGACAAAUGCCAACUACUAUAUGCAAGCAAGUGAUUCUCACAUUCUGCAAUCGCAGCAGCAUUCUUAUUACGCACCAGUGUCUGCAGGUGGCAUAUCUAUUCCUGUUGAUGCCGCAUCUAUUCCCCCAGUACCUGGUUCUUACUAUAGCUAUCCUUCAGUCACCAUGGAUGCCAGUGGAGUAGCAGCUGAAUCUUCUGGAUACUACGCUUCAUCAACCUCUACCAUUUCUAGUAGUGCACUAGAUAACAAAACAACAUCAGCUCCCAUUGAUGCUACAAAUAGUGAUGUGAAUCCCAUAGAAUCUGAUAAAGUUAUAUCCAAGGAAGCCAAAAUUGCAUCUUUGAGCCAAGCAGUUGGAGCAACAUCAGCUUCAGGAACCGUACGUGGAAGUUCUACACAAGCUUCCACCAGUACCACUAAUCAGACUAAAGUUCAUCGUACUAAGAAGCGACCUGUUGCUGUUGCAUCAUCACUGAGGUCUAAUAAGAAGGUAUCGAGUCUGGUGGAUAAGGCAGAGCAAUCUGUUUACAUGGUAGUGCUUGAGCAGAGGUGAGUGGUGAUGUAUGAUAAUUGUUUCCCAGUCAAUUUCACUUCGCUAAAGCAACUUUUUGUUGUUGUAAACAGUGGAAAGCUGCCAAAGAGGAGCUGCGUGAUGAAGAGGAAGAGGAACCUGAAGAUGCUUUGGAGGCACUUGAAAAAAAACGCCGGAAGGAAAUAGAUGGGUGGCGGAAACAACAAAUAGCUAGCGGAGAAGCUAAGGAAAAUGCCAACUUUGUUCCCCUUGGUGGCGACUGGCGUGACCGUGUGAAACGCAGAAGAGCUGAAGCCAAGAAGGAAUCUAAGUCCGAAUUUAUUCAAGCAGUUCCGGAACAGCACAAAGGACAGCCUGAUCUUGUAGAGCUUUCCAAGGGUCUCCCUUCUGGGUGGCAGGCAUACAUAGACGAGUCUACGAAGCAAGUUUACUAUGGGAACAACCUCACAUCUGAGACGACUUGGGACCGGCCUACCAAAUGAAGAUAGGACUGGUUGAAGACGAUCAAGUUUUGUUGACUUGGGACCGGCCUACCAAAUGAAGAUAGGACUUGUUGAAGACGAUCAAGUUUUGUUUGUAAAUAUCUCCUUGCCUCUUUACUUAACACGACACACUGAUGAUCUUACAAUUGCAUGAAAGUGCUUGCCUACAUGGCAUGUUCUGAGAAGCAAAUCAAUCUCAUGUUAUUUAUUCUGAUCGCAAUGAAUUGUUGUUUCUCUUGUUUUCA